This 72-nucleotide transfer RNA is filed under the name Camelus bactrianus (Bactrian camel). It matches the Rfam family "tRNA". From Rfam's summary of the family: Transfer RNA (tRNA) molecules are approximately 80 nucleotides in length. Their secondary structure includes four short double-helical elements and three loops (D, anti-codon, and T loops). Lineage: Eukaryota; Metazoa; Chordata; Mammalia; Artiodactyla; Camelidae. The record is from Rfam by way of RNAcentral. RNAcentral also lists the same sequence under 1 other name.
GAGGGUAUAGCUCAAUGGUAGAGCACAUGCUUAGCAUGCAUGAGGCCCUGGGUUCAAUCCCCAGUAUCUCUA